CAGUAUUGACUGCUUUAGUAGUCUCAUACUCUCAACCACUGUGCAUUGUUUCGUGGCGUUCGCGUCACCCACAUUUCACCACUGAUUGAGUACACACAUAACAUAUAAUACGCAUA
Molecule: unclassified non-coding RNA, 116 nt
Filed under: soil metagenome
Description: partial internal transcribed spacer 1
Source: RNAcentral